This 180-nucleotide non-coding RNA is filed under the name Delftia acidovorans CCUG 274B. Its description in RNAcentral is "RT-15 RNA". It matches the Rfam family "RT-15 RNA". Rfam says of the family: Proteobacteria. Nearby to self-splicing intron genes Lineage: Bacteria; Pseudomonadati; Pseudomonadota; Betaproteobacteria; Burkholderiales; Comamonadaceae. The record is from Rfam by way of RNAcentral.
GCGCGCCCGCCGCCGGCCUGUCACGGCAAGUCGGCCAUGGCGCCUUGGAAUCUGGUCGAGCCGCUGGGCCACAAGCCCACCGACAGGCGCAGCAGGGAUAUCGCCGGCAGCAGCCGUAGUGAUCCCGCGCAGUUCGCCCGCUGAGCACUCUGCGGGCCGACGUGAAUGCUCGACACCCCU